AAGCAGUAACAGCGGGUGUUUUCAACAGGAAUGGUAGCAGCUGUUUGUACUGUGUUUUCGGUAAUCUUGUUGUUUGUUCUGGUGCUUGACCGUCGAUGAUGGUGCUUUGUGGACACCUGCAGGGGUUGGCAGUUUGGCUGAGAUCUAGGAUCUUCACCAUACGUGCUCUGCUUUUCCACUUUGGCCACCUUGGUGGCUUUUUCACUGUUUCCACCCUGUCUCUUUCUGCCUAAGACAGUCCUGAGCUGACUCUCUCCAUGAGUUGCAGAGCAGUGUUGUGUGUGGGGGGUAAUUUUCCAGAAAAAGGGUGACAUAGAGACAGAGGAGAACACCCCAGGCUUCACAUCCCUGAUGGCUUUUGCAGUACCUUGGCCUGUGUGACUGCCCACCUCCAUCUUCUUCUGCCUUCACAACGAUGCUGGCGCCUUCCUAUGCGAAGUGAUCACAACCAGCAAGAUCUACCUCAGGAGCAGAAGUUGAGGCAAACCUUCGAGGAACAAGGACAACUGAUUGGGAGUAAGGUCUAUGACCUGGUUGCUUAUGGCUUCCUGCAAUUGCUUUCCCGAAUGAGCCAUGUGGGAGCGAUCUGGACACAGGAGAGUGUGGUAGCUGCUCUGCAGCACGCGGCAAAGCUGCCCUGAAACCCCGGCCCUGCCGGGAAGCAGAGGAGCACAGCGGUCAAGAAAAGAAACACCAAGAA
This is a long non-coding RNA of Tyto alba (common barn owl), 700 nucleotides long. RefSeq lists it as uncharacterized. The transcript is spliced from 4 exons. The record is from RefSeq and is a predicted model, not a curated record. NCBI's taxonomy places the organism in Eukaryota, Metazoa, Chordata, Aves, Strigiformes, Tytonidae.